Molecule: ribosomal RNA, 496 nt
Filed under: uncultured bacterium
Lineage: Bacteria
Description: partial 16S ribosomal RNA
Rfam family: Bacterial small subunit ribosomal RNA
Source: RNAcentral
GACGAACGCUGGCGGCGUGCCUAAUACAUGCAAGUUGAGCGCUGAAGGUUGGUACUUGUACCGACUGGAUGAGCAGCGAACGGGUGAGUAACGCGUGGGGAAUCUGCCUUUGAGCGGGGGACAACAUUUGGAAACGAAUGCUAAUACCGCAUAAAAACUUUAAACACAAGCUUUAAGUUUGAAAGAUGCAAUUGCAUCACUCAAAGAUGAUCCCGCGUUGUAUUAGCUAGUUGGUGAGGUAAAGGCUCACCAAGGCGAUGAUACAUAGCCGACCUGAGAGGGUGAUCGGCCACAUUGGGACUGAGACACGGCCCAAACUCCUACGGGAGGCAGCAGUAGGGAAUCUUCGGCAAUGGACGAAAGUCUGACCGAGCAACGCCGCGUGAGUGAAGAAGGUUUUCGGAUCGUAAAACUCUGUUGGUAGAGAAGAACGUUGGUGAGAGUGGAAAGCUCAUCAAGUGACGGUAACUACCCAGAAAGGGACGGCUAACUACGU